RNAcentral lists this ribosomal RNA (460 nucleotides) under uncultured bacterium. RNAcentral's name for it is "partial 16S ribosomal RNA". It matches the Rfam family "Bacterial small subunit ribosomal RNA", at positions 338 to 795 of the family's 1533-position model. The record is from RNAcentral.
CCUACGGGAGGCAGCAGUGAGGAAUAUUGGUCAAUGGGCGGAAGCCUGAACCAGCCAAGUCGCGUGAGGGAAUAAGGCCCUACGGGUCGUAAACCUCUUUUGCCGGGGAGAAAGGGCGGGGACGUGACCCGGCCCGGAGAGUACCCGGAGAACAAGCAUCGGCCAACUCCGUGUCAGCAUCCGCGGGAAUACGGAGGAGGCGGGCGUUAGCGGGAUUAAAUGGGUUUAAAGGCGGCGUAGGGGGGCGUUUAAGUCAGCGGUAAAAAUUCGGGGCUCAACCCCGGCCGGCCGUUGAAACUGGGGGCCUUGAGUGGGCGAGAAGAAGGCGGAAUUCGUGGUGUAGCGGUGAAAUGCAUAGAUAUCACGCAGAACCCCGAUUGCGAAGGCAGCCUUCCGGAGCCCUACUGACGCUGAGGCACGAAAGUGCGGGGAUCGAACAGGAUUAGAUACCCUAGUAGUC